RNAcentral lists this ribosomal RNA (447 nucleotides) under uncultured bacterium. RNAcentral describes it as "bacterial SSU rRNA". It matches the Rfam family "Bacterial small subunit ribosomal RNA", at positions 330 to 794 of the family's 1533-position model. The record is from RNAcentral.
GCCAGACUCCUACGGGAGGCAGCAGUGGGGAAUAUUGCACAAUGGGGGAAACCCUGAUGCAGCGACGCCGCGUGAGUGAAGAAGUAAUUCGUUAUGUAAAGCUCUAUCAGCAGGGAAGAAAAUGACGGUACCUGAGUAAGAAGCCCCGGCUAACUACGUGCCAGCAGCCGCGGUAAUACGUAGGGGGCAAGCGUUAUCCGGAUUUACUGGGUGUAAAGGGAGCGUAGACGGUUAUGUAAGUCUGGAGUGAAAGCCCGGGGCCCAACCCCGGGACUGCUUUGGAAACUGUGUAACUGGAGUACAGGAGGGGCAGGCGGAAUUCCUGGUGUAGCGGUGAAAUGCGUAGAUAUCAGGAGGAACACCGGCGGCGAAGGCGGCCUGCUGGAGUGAAACUGACGUUGAGGCUCGAAAGCGUGGGGAGCAAACAGGAUUAGAUACCCGAGUAAA